AACGACGCUGGCGGCAGGCCUAAAACAUGCAAGUCGAACGAACCUUCGGGUUAGUGGCGCACGGGUGAGUAACGCGUGGGAAUGUGCCUCUGGGUGCGGAACAACGUCGGGAAACUGACGCUAAUACCGCAUAAUGUCUACGGACCAAAGAUUUAUCGCCCAGAGAUCAGCCCGCGUCUGAUUAGCUAGUUGGUGAGGUAACGGCUCACCAAGGCUACGAUCAGUAGCUGGUCUGAGAGGAUGAUCAGCCACACUGGAACUGAGACACGGUCCAGACUCCUACGGGAGGCAGCAGUUAGGAAUAUUGGACAAUGGGGGAAACCCUGAUCCAGCCAUGCCGCGUGUGUGAAGAAGGCCUUAGGGUUGUAAAGCACUUUCGGCUGUGAAGAUAAUGACAGUAGCAGAAGAAGAAGCUCCGGCUAAACUUCGUG
This 431-nucleotide ribosomal RNA is filed under the name uncultured bacterium. Its description in RNAcentral is "bacterial SSU rRNA". It matches the Rfam family "Bacterial small subunit ribosomal RNA", at positions 32 to 507 of the family's 1533-position model. The record is from RNAcentral.